This 301-nucleotide ribosomal RNA is filed under the name uncultured bacterium. RNAcentral's name for it is "partial 16S ribosomal RNA". It matches the Rfam family "Bacterial small subunit ribosomal RNA", at positions 509 to 807 of the family's 1533-position model. The record is from RNAcentral.
CAGCAGCCGCGGUAAUACGGAGGGGGCUAGCGUUGUUCGGAAUUACUGGGCGUAAAGCGCACGUAGGCGGCUUGGUAAGUUAGAGGUGAAAGCCUGGAGCUCAACUCCAGAAUCGCCUUUAAGACUGCCGAGCUAGCAGGUGAGAGAGGUAAGUGGAAUUCCGAGUGUAGAGGUGAAAUUCGUAGAUAUUCGGAAGAACACCAGUGGCGAAGGCGGCUUACUGGCUCAUACUGGACGCUGAGGUGCGAAAGCGUGGGGAGCAAACAGGAUUAGAUACCCGCGUAGUCCCUGUCUCUUAUAC